Molecule: ribosomal RNA, 532 nt
Filed under: uncultured bacterium
Lineage: Bacteria
Description: bacterial SSU rRNA
Rfam family: Bacterial small subunit ribosomal RNA
Source: RNAcentral
UGGGGAAUAUUGCACAAUGGGCGCAAGCCUGAUGCAGCGACGCCGCGUGAGGGAUGACGGCCUUCGGGUUGUAAACCUCUGUUAGCAGGGAAGGAGAGAGAUUGACGGUACCUGCAGAGAAAGCGCCGGCUAACUACGUGCCAGCAGCCGCGGUAAUACGUAGGGCGCGAGCGUUGUCCGGAAUUAUUGGGCGUAAAGAGCUUGUAGGCGGUUUGUCGCGUCUGCUGUGAAAGGCCGGAGCUUAACUCCGUGUAUUGCAGUGGGUACGGGCAGACUAGAGUGCAGUAGGGGAGACUGGAAUUCCUGGUGUAGCGGUGGAAUGCGCAGAUAUCAGGAGGAACACCGAUGGCGAAGGCAGGUCUCUGGGCUGUAACUGACGCUGAGAAGCGAAAGCAUGGGGAGCGAACAGGAUUAGAUACCCUGGUAGUCCAUGCCGUAAACGUUGGGCACUAGGUGUGGGGAACAUUCCACGUUUUCCGCGCCGUAGCUAACGCAUUAAGUGCCCCGCCUGGGGAGUACGGCCGCAAGGCUA